AGUGAACGCUGGCGGUAGGCCUAACACAUGCAAGUCGAACGGCAGCACAGUAAGAGCUUGCUCUUACGGGUGGCGAGUGGCGGACGGGUGAGGAAUACAUCGGAAUCUACUUUUUCGUGGGGGAUAACGUAGGGAAACUUACGCUAAUACCGCAUACGACCUACGGGUGAAAGCAGGGGAUCUUCGGACCUUGCGCGAUUGAAUGAGCCGAUGUCGGAUUAGCUAGUUGGCGGGGUAAAGGCCCACCAAGGCGACGAUCCGUAGCUGGUCUGAGAGGAUGAUCAGGCACACUGGAAAUGGGAAACGGGCCCGACUCCCAAGGGGGGGAGCAGAGGGGAAAAUUGGACAAUGGGGGCAAAACCGAGACACACCCAUCGCGUGGGUGAAAAAGGGCUUGGGGUUGUAAAGACCCUUUGUUGGGGAAAAAAAAAAGAAGGUUAAUACCCCCCGGUUUUGAGGGGGCCCACAAAAAAAAAACAGGGUAAAUUCGUG
Molecule: ribosomal RNA, 492 nt
Filed under: uncultured bacterium
Lineage: Bacteria
Description: partial 16S ribosomal RNA
Rfam family: Bacterial small subunit ribosomal RNA
Source: RNAcentral